Molecule: ribosomal RNA, 596 nt
Filed under: uncultured Arcobacter sp.
Lineage: Bacteria; Pseudomonadati; Campylobacterota; Epsilonproteobacteria; Campylobacterales; Arcobacteraceae
Description: bacterial SSU rRNA
Rfam family: Bacterial small subunit ribosomal RNA
Source: RNAcentral
UUGUUGGAAACGACUUGUAAUGCUCUAUAUGCCUUUAUUACAAAAGUAAGCAAGGGAAACAUUUAUGGCUUUGGGAUGGGACUGUACGGUAUCAGCUUGUUGGUAAGGUAAUGGCUUACCAAGGCUAUGACGCCUAACUGGUUUGAGAGGAUGAUCAGUCACACUGGAACUGAGACACGGUCCAGACUCCUACGGGAGGCAGCAGUGGGGAAUAUUGCACAAUGGAGGAAACUCUGAUGCAGCAACGCCGCGUGGAGGAUGACACAUUUCGGUGCGUAAACUCCUUUUAUAUGAGAAGAUAAUGACGGUAUCAUAUGAAUAAGCACCGGCUAACUCCGUGCCAGCAGCCGCGGUAAUACGGGGGGUGCAAGCGUUACUCGGAAUCACUGGGCGUAAAGAGCAUGUAGGCUGGUUUGUAAGUUGGAAGUGAAAUCCUAUGGCUUAACCAUAGAACUGCUUCCAAAACUGCAGACCUAGAAUAUGGGAGAGGUAGAUGGAAUUUCUGGUGUAGGGGUAAAAUCCGUAGAGAUCAGAAGGAAUACCGAUUGCGAAGGCGAUCUACUGGAACAUUAUUGACGCUGAGAUGCGAAAGCGUG